GACGAACGCUGGCGGCGUGCCUAAUACAUGCAAGUAGAACGCACAGUUUAUACCGUAGCUUGCUACACCAUAGACUGUGAGUUGCGAACGGGUGAGUAACGCGUAGGUAACCUGCCUGGUAGCGGGGGAUAACUAUUGGAAACGAUAGCUAAUACCGCAUAAUAUUGAUUAUUGCAUGAUAAUUAAUUGAAAGGUGCAAUUGCACCACUACCAGAUGGACCUGCGUUGUAUUAGCUAGUAGGUGAGGUAACGGCUCACCUAGGCGACGAUACAUAGCCGACCUGAGAGGGUGAUCGGCCACACUGGGACUGAGACACGGCCCAGACUCCUACGGGAGGCAGCAGUAGGGAAUCUUCGGCAAUGGACGAAAGUCUGACCGAGCAACGCCGCGGGAGUGAAGAAGGGUGUCGGAUCGGAAAGCUCUGUUGUAAGAGAAGAACGGGUGUGAGAGUGGAAAGUUCACACUGUGACGGUAUCUUACCAGAAAGGGACGGCUAACUACGUG
Molecule: ribosomal RNA, 505 nt
Filed under: uncultured bacterium
Lineage: Bacteria
Description: partial 16S ribosomal RNA
Rfam family: Bacterial small subunit ribosomal RNA
Source: RNAcentral